UACAGGGGGAUAACAGUUAGAAAUGACUGCUAAUACCGCAUAAGACCACAGCACCGCAUGGUGCAGGGGUAAAAACUCCGGUGGUAUGAGAUGGACCCGCGUCUGAUUAGCUAGUUGGUAAGGUAACGGCUUACCAAGGCGACGAUCAGUAGCCGACCUGAGAGGGUGACCGGCCACAUUGGGACUGAGACACGGCCCAAACUCCUACGGGAGGCAGCAGUGGGGGAUAUUGCACAAUGGGGGAAACCCUGAUGCAGCGACGCCGCGUGAGCGAAGAAGUAUUUCGGUAUGUAAAGCUCUAUCAGCAGGGAAGAAAAUGACGGUACCUGACUAAGAAGCACCGGCUAAAUACGUGCCAGCAGCCGCGGUAAUACGUAUGGUGCAAGCGUUAUCCGGAUUUACUGGGUGUAAAGGGAGCGUAGACGGAUGGGCAAGUCUGAUGUGAAAACCCGGGGCUCAACCCCCGGGACUGCAUUGGAAACUGUUCAUCUAGAGUGCUGGAGAGGUAAGUGGAAUU
This 517-nucleotide ribosomal RNA is filed under the name uncultured Lachnospiraceae bacterium. RNAcentral's name for it is "bacterial SSU rRNA". It matches the Rfam family "Bacterial small subunit ribosomal RNA", at positions 134 to 668 of the family's 1533-position model. The record is from RNAcentral. Lineage: Bacteria; Bacillati; Bacillota; Clostridia; Lachnospirales; Lachnospiraceae.